UACAUGCAAGUCGAGCGGAAUGAUGAAGAAGCUUGCUUCUUCUGAUUUUAGCGGCGGACGGGUGAGUAACACGUGGGCAACCUACCUUGUAGAUUGGGAUAACUCCGGGAAACCGGGGCUAAUACCGAAUAAAUCCAUUUUGCUUCAUGGCGAGAUGUUAAAAGGCGGCUUCGGCUGUCACUACGAGAUGGGCCCGCGGCGCAUUAGCUAGUUGGUAGGGUAAUGGCCUACCAAGGCGACGAUGCGUAGCCGACCUGAGAGGGUGAUCGGCCACACUGGGACUGAGACACGGCCCAGACUCCUACGGGAGGCAGCAGUAGGGAAUCUUCCACAAUGGACGAAAGUCUGAUGGAGCAACGCCGCGUGAGUGAAGAAGGUUUUCGGAUCGUAAAACUCUGUUGUAAGGGAAGAACACGUACGAGAGUAAUUGCUCGUACCUUGACGGUACCUUAUUAGAAAGCCACGGCUAACUACGUG
Molecule: ribosomal RNA, 477 nt
Filed under: uncultured bacterium
Lineage: Bacteria
Description: bacterial SSU rRNA
Rfam family: Bacterial small subunit ribosomal RNA
Source: RNAcentral